UACAGAGACCUCAAGCGUUAUCCGGAUUUAUUGGGCGUAAAGAGCAUGUAGGCGGUCUUGUUAGUCAGAUGUCAAAGCUUCGAGCUCAACUCGAAAACUGCAUUUGAAACGGCAAGGCUUGAGACAGUGAGAGAUUGAUGGAACAUAUGGUGUAGCAGUGAAAUGCGUUGAUAUCAUAUGGAACACCAAAGGCGAAGGCAUUCAAUUAGCACUGUUCUGACGCUGAGAUGCGAAAGCGUGGGUAGCGAAUGGG
Molecule: ribosomal RNA, 253 nt
Filed under: uncultured bacterium
Lineage: Bacteria
Description: partial 16S ribosomal RNA
Rfam family: Bacterial small subunit ribosomal RNA
Source: RNAcentral